RNAcentral lists this ribosomal RNA (497 nucleotides) under uncultured bacterium. Its description in RNAcentral is "partial 16S ribosomal RNA". It matches the Rfam family "Bacterial small subunit ribosomal RNA", at positions 28 to 507 of the family's 1533-position model. The record is from RNAcentral.
GACGAACGCUGGCGGCGUGCCUAAUACAUGCAAGUUGAGCGCUGAAGGUUGGUACUUGUACCAACUGGAUGAGCAGCGAACGGGUGAGUAACGCGUGGGGAAUCUGCCUUUGAGCGGGGGACAACAUUUGGAAACGAAUGCUAAUACCGCAUAAAAACUUUAAACACAAGUUUUAAGUUUGAAAGAUGCAAUUGCAUCACUCAAAGAUGAUCCCGCGUUGUAUUAGCUAGUUGGUGAGGUAAAGGCUCACCAAGGCGAUGAUACAUAGCCGACCUGAGAGGGGGAGCGGCCACAUUGGGACUGAGACACGGCCCAAACUCCUACGGGAGGCAGCAGUAGGGAAUCUUCGGCAAUGGACGAAAGGCUGACCGAGCAACGCCGCGUGAGGGAAGAAGGGUUUCGGAUCGUAAAAAUCUGUUGGUAGGGAAGAACGUUGGUGAGAGUGGAAAGCUCAUCAAGUGACGGUAACUACCCAGAAAGGGACGGCUAACUACGUG